CCCCCGCCCGGAUGACACGGCUCGCUCUCUCCCAGCGCGGCCCGGCUGCCGCCGCUGCCAGUCCGCCCGCUGGGUUGUCAGAACAAGCGGCACCUCGCCUCCUGCGUGUCCCUGCAGAGCCCCGACAUAAUUAGACAGCCCCGAGCCGGCUCGGAAACCCGAAAUCCCUGCUCCGGCGCUCGCCCACCGCAAAGUUGUUGAAACAGCCCUCACUCUGUUCUCCUCUCUCUCUUUUUGGCCUCGCUUACACACAUUCACACGCGCCCCCACAGGAUCCCUCUCAGAGGGAGCAAGUUCUUCGCCUCCCACCUGAGUGUCGCAGGCGCCCAGCGCCGCGCAGAGGUUCGGACCCCGCCCGCCUAGGGCUCGGCCUCCGCGAGGGUGAAAUGCCCGAGCCUCGGGCUCGCAGCCCUGGCGGGGACAAUUCGCUCUCGACUGAGGGGCUCAGUUGCACUCGGACCAGUUCGCAGAGCCACCCCCACCCCCCCCCCCCCACCCCCCGCGGGGCACGCGGGGGGCUGCCCUGCCGGGGGGUGGCUGAGCCCGGCACCGCGCACGGCAGGAGCCCCCAGAGAAGCGCCGGCCCCCGUGGGAUGUCACCUCGUGCCCCGUGGGGUGAAGGGAGGGCCCGGGAAAGGAGAAAGAUUUAAAAUAGCCGACGGAAAGGAGAGGGGGAAGGGAACGGGUGACACAUCGUUCACCUCAACCCGGGUUCUGAUUUCAAGUGAAGACAAGACCCACGCUGCUGCGCCCGCACAGACCUCUGCGCCAGACAUUUCCAGCUCCAAAUGUCAAAGAAAAGAGCAGAAAAGAAAAGAGAAUACAAAGCGCAGCAAAGGCAGGGACUACCACCUAUUUAAGUAAUCAUCGGCCGCGGCCCUCCUCCCCCUCCCGUGACCCCUCCGCGUAUUUCAGCGGGGGUUGCGAAGGAGUUCACGGCCGCCGCAGCCAGGCGGGUUCCCAGCGCCUCCCGCGGGCGGAGCGGCGGUGCUGGGGCUUCCCCGGCUGCCGCAAGAAGCCGAGCUCCGGAGACCCUGGCUUGUAAAACGGGCUCCAAUGAGGCGCGCUCUAUCGGCCCCGCGGGCUCCCCGCACCAGAGGCCCCGUGCAGCCCCGCCAGGAUUCCCACGGUCACGCCGCCGAGCGCCGGGCGGCUGCAGGGGCCGCAGCUGGAGGACCCCGCGGCCGGCCGGCUCCGCACCGCGCAGCCUCCCCACCGCCACCCCAGGGAUGCUCUCCGAGUGUCCCACAGAGGGAGAAGCUGCUUACAACUUCUUCAGUAACAGAGAUACCUGGAGCGAGCCCCGAAGCAACGUGGGAGAGGAGUGCUUCCAAACUGAAUCCCAUAACCGGGAGGUGCAACCCAGCUCAGGGAGAAGUGUGCGGGCCCCUUCUCCAAACAGAAAGGAGCCUUUUUAGAAAGGGGGGGGGGGAGAUAGGGAGGAAGUAAAAAAUGAAUCAAUAAAAUAAGGAAUAUUAAAGAUCGGAGAGGAAGUUAAAGAGGAAAAGGGGUUUUCUCUUCCUGGUGACCCGAGCCCCCAGGAUCUCGCUGGAGACACACGCCGGGUGCACAGACGCGUGCCUAAUUGCCAGCAACUGCUUCAAAAACCCAAGCUCGUGUCUUCGCUCCACUCUUAGGCAGACCCAAAACUGGUCAGAAAAAAAAAAGGGGGGGGGUAAAGUGGGACACGAGCUUCGAAGGAGGGAAAUGAAAGAAGGCAGCGAGCGUCCACAUCCUUCCUCUCCAGCUUCUCCCUUGCGUUCUUCGGGCGAAUCGGAGAGGCGGGCGCCGCGCUGGGGAAAGUUUGUCCCACCCGCAUUUCGCAUCUGGCUGCGGGGAGAGGAGGAGGAGCGGGAAGGUAGCGCUCCGAGCCUGCGGCCGCAAAGAUACCCGGCGCCGCGCUUACCUCGCAGUCCUCGUACUUGAUAUUAUCCGUCAGUUUCCAAAGCAUUUUCAUGGAUCGGCGUGAACGGAUUUGCCCCCUUCUCCGCCUCGCACCCAAGUGGAGCUACUCUCUGGCUCUUUACCAACAGCCUAAUCGCCUCAUUAGCAUAUCAACAAUAGUCCAAUUGCUCGCCAGCACCGCAAUCUGCGGCCGGCCGCUCCGACCCAGGUAUAAAGGCCUCUCCAAGCCGCGAACUUGCUCCUAGAGCGCACGCCUGCCUGUGAGCGGACGGAAUCUCCCCGGAGACCAGCCGCGCGCCCCUGCCCCAGUCACCCCCCAGCCCCCGCCGCUGCCCCAUUCCACCCCACUCCCCUUCCUCUCCGUCUCCUCCUCCAGGGAGAUGCCCUCCGCAACAACAACAACAAAAAACCUGCACUGUGCAGGGUCCGAGCGGCUGCGCCUGGGGCCCAGCUUUCAGCACCUCUCCCUCACCCCUACCACCGCUAACCGCGCGGUCCUUUCGGCCCCGUCCAAUUUUAUUAGAAAUUAUUAUCCCUUUCGCAAUUAAAUAUAAUCACCAAACCAAGACCGGCAAAGUCACUCCAGGAUUUUUGCCCAACAAGAGAUCGCCUCCGCUCGCGGCAGCCUCCACCUCGGGCCCCAGCGCCUUGGGAAUUUUAUUGGCUUUGCGCUCCCCCCCACCCCCACCCCCAAGUUGAAGAUUUUGCCAAACGGCUCCAGUGGCUCGGCUGGGGUUUGCGAUCCUUUAAUUGCCGCGUGUAAAAUAAAAAUUGUACCCUGAAGAGGUUAGUUGACAGCUCCAGGGGUUAAAUGAUUUUCCUCUCGUUUGUAUGAAGCUAGAGCUGACUGAUAAUUCAACGUGGUGUUUGGGCUAAGGGUUUCCUAGGUGCGAUGUGGACAAAAUACAGAACUCCUAUGGAGUCUCACAGUCGCUUCUGGAGUUGAGCCGAUAUACCGACAUGUGUGCGCCGUGUCAUUCAUGCAUCAAAAUAAAUCGCUGGGAACCAAC
This is a long non-coding RNA of Herpailurus yagouaroundi (jaguarundi), 2915 nucleotides long. RefSeq lists it as uncharacterized. The record is from RefSeq and is a predicted model, not a curated record. The transcript is spliced from 2 exons. Lineage: Eukaryota; Metazoa; Chordata; Mammalia; Carnivora; Felidae.